This 434-nucleotide ribosomal RNA is filed under the name uncultured Clostridium sp. Its description in RNAcentral is "partial 16S ribosomal RNA". It matches the Rfam family "Bacterial small subunit ribosomal RNA", at positions 341 to 792 of the family's 1533-position model. The record is from RNAcentral. Lineage: Bacteria; Bacillati; Bacillota; Clostridia; Eubacteriales; Clostridiaceae.
ACGGGAGGCAGCAGUGGGGAAUAUUGCACAAUGGGGGAAACCCUGAUGCAGCGACGCCGCGUGAGUGAAGAAGUAUUUCGGUAUGUAAAGCUCUAUCAGCAGGGAAGAAAAUGACGGUACCUGACUAGGAAGCCCCGGCUAACUACGUGCCAGCAGCCGCGGUAAUACGUAGGGGGCAAGCGUUAUCCGGAUUUACUGGGUGUAAAGGGAGCGUAGACGGUAAUGCAAGUCAGAAGUGAAAGCCCAGGGCUCAACCGUGGGACUGCUUUUGAAACUGUAAUACUGGAGUGCAGGAGAGGUAAGUGGAAUUCCUAGUGUAGCGGUGAAAUGCGUAGAUAUUAGGAGGAACACCAGUGGCGAAGGCGGCUUACUGGACUGUAACUGACGUUGAGGCUCGAAAGCGUGGGGAGCAAACAGGAUUAGAUACCCUGGUA